GAUGCAGUCCAGGCUGCUGGCUGUGUUAUGCACACUGGCGGCCUUCAUCCACCUUGGCUCCAGCGAUGCGGACAAGGUUCGUCAAUCUCCGAGUACAGUGUUUGGAGAGGAGGGACAGUCUGUGACCUUGGACUGCAGCUUCGCACUCAACUAUAACUACUAUGUGAUGAACUGGUAUCACCAGCCUCCCAACGGAAAGAUGACUCAAAUCAUUAGCAUGUUUUCUGAUAGCAGCAGCCAAAAGUAAGGACGAUAUGCUCUGUCCUUUCAGAAAGGAAGCAAAUCCCUAAAGCUGACCAUCACGGGCUUGC
This is a non-coding RNA of Ailuropoda melanoleuca (giant panda), 311 nucleotides long. Lineage: Eukaryota; Metazoa; Chordata; Mammalia; Carnivora; Ursidae. The record is from the annotation of a RefSeq genome assembly.